UACAGAGGUCUCAAGCGUUGUUCGGAAUCACUGGGCGUAAAGGGUGCGUAGGCGGCACUGUAAGUCAGAGGUGAAAUCCCGGAGCUCAACUUCGGAAUUGCCUCCGAUACUGCCGUGCUUGAGGACUGGAGAGGAGAUUGGAAUUCACAGUGGAGCAGUGAAAUGCGUAGAUAUUGUGAGGAACACUAGUGGCGAAGGCGAGUCUCUGGACAGUUCCUGACGCUGAGGAGCGAAAGCGUGGGGAGCAAACAGG
This 253-nucleotide ribosomal RNA is filed under the name uncultured bacterium. RNAcentral's name for it is "partial 16S ribosomal RNA". It matches the Rfam family "Bacterial small subunit ribosomal RNA", at positions 524 to 776 of the family's 1533-position model. The record is from RNAcentral.